GAGAGCCAAUGGAAACAGACAUGUGUUGAUUUUGCCCCUAUAAUCUAGGGGCAAAAUCAACGCGUGUCUGUUUCCAUUGGCUCUC
Non-coding RNA from Pelobates cultripes (western spadefoot toad), 85 nucleotides. NCBI's taxonomy places the organism in Eukaryota, Metazoa, Chordata, Amphibia, Anura, Pelobatidae. The record is from the annotation of a GenBank genome assembly.